Molecule: ribosomal RNA, 389 nt
Filed under: uncultured euryarchaeote
Lineage: Archaea; Methanobacteriati; Methanobacteriota
Description: bacterial SSU rRNA
Rfam family: Archaeal small subunit ribosomal RNA
Source: RNAcentral
GCGCGAAACCUUUACAAUGCACGAAAGUGUGAUAGGGGGAUACUCAGUGCUUACGGUUAUGCCGUAGGCUUUUGUCGAUCGUAAAUAGAUCGGCGAAUAAGUGGUGGGUAAGACCGGUGCCAGCCGCCGCGGUAACCCCGGCGCCACGAGUGGUCGUCACGAUUAUUGGGCCUAAAGCGUUCGUAGCCGGUUUGGUAAAUCUCUUGUGAAAUUGUUCGGCUUAACCGGACAGCGUGCAGGAGACACUGCCAGACUCGAGACCGGGAGGCGCAAGAAGUAUGCCGUGGGGACUGGUAAAAUGGGAUAAUCCACGGUAGACUACCGAUGGCGAAGGCAUCUUGCGAGAACGGAUCUGACGGUGAGGAACGAAAGCCAGGGGAGCGAACCGG